GACAGAGAACUGAGGCAUAAACAGUGAUCUGCCCAAGGCUGCUCUGUGAGUUCCUGCUGAACCCAGGGUUCCAAGUUUGCAGAUCAGAUUCAGCCACACAAACGACAGAACUCAAAACAGGAGACCGGAUGAAAUCAAAAGAAAUGUAGCCAGAGCUGGAAGCCUAUGGCUAAGAACAAAAAGAGCCCCCCCCCACCCCCAAAAAAUUGGUUGCCCUGGUUUUCCAGGGUUUUUUAGCUGUUUGAAUGUUUAAUUGGUUUUAUUCUGUUUUUAUAGUGUUGAUUUUAAUUAAUUGGUUUUAAUUGUUUUUAUCCUGUUGUAAACCGCCCUGAGCCAUUUGGAAGGGUGGUAUAUAAAUCAAAUAAAUAAAUAUUCAAGAAGGAAA
Long non-coding RNA from Hemicordylus capensis (graceful crag lizard), 385 nucleotides. RefSeq lists it as uncharacterized. Lineage: Eukaryota; Metazoa; Chordata; Lepidosauria; Squamata; Cordylidae. The record is from RefSeq and is a predicted model, not a curated record. The transcript is spliced from 2 exons.